GCUGGAGAGUACUUCAUGCUGCUGUGUGUCCUGGAGGGGUGUGUGUGUGUACAUACGUAUGUGUGUUUUAUGUGUGUGCUGAACACAUCUCUUUAUAUAGGCAUGAUAAUUUUCUGGGAAUACAUGCAAGAAUCCAUUAAUAAUGGUGGUAGGAUAAACUGAGAACCCUAAGAAAUACACAUAAGGGAUCAUAUGAUUACAUUUGAACUAAGGACAGAACUGCUGUGUUACUGGAUGGCAAAUGCAAAGCAAGGUUCUGAAAUGAUUUUUAGAAGGGAUAUUUAUUAAGCUGUGCAAAAGAGGCAAUUNGGAUGAAGCUGAUUCUAUCCUAUGAAACACCAGGUAAUUGGUUUAGAAAAGCAUCUAAUCCAAGUCUGCCCAAAGAUGUUCAAUUUGGGGACUUCUGUUGCUACUAUUAGAAGUGGAAAGCUUGUUUUAUACUGAGAUUGCAAACAUAGGAUAAUAUAAACCUAGGGAUGCUAAAAUCAUUAGGUAAAAAGAGCAAUUCUGAAAUUAAGGCCAAUGUAUCAGAGAACAAAACCAAGAGGGCAAGAAAAAACAAGUCCUACUGAUACAGUUUUAGCCUAGAUCCAUCCAUGCCUAACGACAGGACUUUUCACUUUGUUAGCCAAUAAGUUUUCCUUCUUGCCUAAAUCAAGUUGGAGUUGGUUUAUAACUUUUGGAACUAAAAGAAUACUAACUCUUGAAAGUAUUGUUGUCAAAAAGGACACCUACAAGUGACUAUUCCUUCCUAGCAAAGAAUAUGCUUAACAAAGAAUAUGCUUAGGCUAGUUGUUGCUCCAGCAUUUCUAUAAAUAGGAAGAGUUAGAUGCUAUAAUCAAAUCAGAGAGGACUGAAUGAGGGACUUGUUUAGAAGCCACUUAUAAAAUUGGUUAAAUAUCUAUUAUCAUAACAAAGAAUAGGAGUAAAAAAAGCCCAAAGGCAACAUCACUGACUCAAACUAAGAAAAAGUCAAUCAACAUUGUUUCCAAAGCACUAACAGGGUCAUAUAUAUAUAUAUCUCAAUGCCUACCAGAGAGGCAGGAUGAUAUAGUGCUAUGGGUUCAAUUCACAGCUCUAUAAUUUACAGAACUAAAUAAUCCUGGAAUAGUGAUUUAAAUUCAGGAGGAUACAUUUUCACUUAGAUAAUGGAGAUCAUUUUACAGCUAUUGUAAGAUUAGAUCCAAAAUAAGUAAAUCACAUAGCACAUACAUGUGCAUACAUAUAUGAUAUUCUUUGAAUAUAUUAAGAGCUUACCUUCUGCCAUAGCAGUAACAGAUUCAUGAAUUUUUUAAUAGAUGCUAAAAUGAUUGGUUAAGGUUUAUGAGGUAGCAGAAAAUGAUAUGACGUAUUGAGCACCUAGGAGCUGUUUAAAGGAGAUCAAAACAUCAGUUCAGUAAACUGUAAUGCACAAACCUGGAUUGGAUCCUUAGCUACACAAAAAAGUCACUAUAAAAGACAUUAUUGAGGAGAAUGACCAAAGUUGAAUAUACUACAAAUUAUAUAAUUAUAUAUUUAAUAUUAGAUUUCUAAAAUUUUAUAAUCAUUCUGUGAUUAGGCAAGAGAAUACCCUUGUUCUUAGACAAUAGAUGCUUAUUAUAUUUUAGGGGUGAAGGGUUAUGACUUCUUUUACUUACUCUAAAUGGCAAAGAAUAAGGAGGAUAAGGAGAAGAAUAGUAAUAUAAUUAGAGAGCAAGAGGAAAGAAUUCAAGUUAAUCUUAAAAAUUGGCAAAUAUAUGUUUAGAGUAUGUUUCUCAUUCUUAUAAUUUUCUGUAGGUUUGAAAUUCUUCAAAAUAAAAAAUAAGGUGAAACAGAAACAAAUUUUAACUUAAAAUUAAUAAAUUCCAGAUUCUCCCUUUGAUCCAGCAAUUCUAGUAGGAAUCUAUUUUACCUGUAUUCCUAUCUAACUACAUAAAACAAUAUCUACUUGGGCAUCCAUGAUCAAAUUUCUUAUAAUCCCAAAUGCUGGUAACAACCUGGAUGUCUAUUAAUAAAAGAUGAAUAGUGGUACAUCUACUAAGUGGAAUAUUCUGCAGUUAUUAUAAGGAUCAAGUUAGUCUACAAAAAAUGGUACAAAAAAAAUCUAAACUCGGGCUGGGGUUGUGGCUCAGUAGAGUACUUGCCUAGCAUGUGUGAGGCACUGGAUUCAAUUCUCAGCACCACAUAAAAAUAGAUAAAUAAAACAAAAAGGUCCAUCAUAAUUUAAAAAGAAAGAAAGAAAGAAAAAAGAAAAAAAUCCAAACUCUGUAGUGGAGUAACAAAAGACAGUUAACAGAAGAGUUAAGUAUAAUAUACUUUUGUUUUAUCAGCAAUCAUAUGUUAUAUUCAAAUUUGGUUAUUUUCCAAAUUAUUUUUAUGUCAAAAUUAAUGCAUACACAUAAUUGAAAAACAAGUACUAUUAAAAUAAUUAUACAAUAGUCUCUUUUUUUACCUUUACCCAGCUAUUACUCUCGAUCAUCUCAGAUAGUUAUUUUUAAUUCUUUCAGCUGCUUAUGUUUUCAAAGAGGCUAUACAUGGCCAUGACAUUCAAAAUAUUUAACAACUAGGAAAGUGUGGGCCUCUGUAAAUCAUAACCCACUAAGACUGGCUGGAGAGUACUUCAUGCUGCUGUGUGUCCUGGAGGGGUGUGUGUGUGUACAUACGUAUGUGUGUUUUAUGUGUGUGCUGAACACAUCUCUUUAUAUAGGCAUGAUAAUUUUCUGGGAAUACAUGCAAGAAUCCAUUAAUAAUGGUGGUAGGAUAAACUGAGAACCCUAAGAAAUACACAUAAGGGAUCAUAUGAUUACAUUUGAACUAAGGACAGAACUGCUGUGUUACUGGAUGGCAAAUGCAAAGCAAGGUUCUGAAAUGAUUUUUAGAAGGGAUAUUUAUUAAGCUGUGCAAAAGAGGCAAUUGGUUGGGGAGAGGAACUCUGGGAGAAAAGAAGAUCCUUUCAAAAUAUUUUCAAGUUCCUGAGUGCUGUGUGAUUUUACUUCUUUCCUGCUUUCCCACAAAUCUUAAGCAAACUCUUUCUUAUUCAUUGUGGCAUUGGAUCUAUUUUCUAGGAGCAGAUGACUGGAUAUCUGUGACCUCAAGCAGUGGCUUUCAGGGGGGAAUCAUUUUCCAUUCUCUUUGAGCUUCCAUUCUUUUGGCAGGAGAUGCGUCUUAGUACAUUUUGUGAAGAGAUAACAAAACACCAUACACUGAAUACUUUUUAAGCAAUAGAAAUUAACUUCUCAUGUUUUUGAGACUGGGGAGUCCUAGACAAAGGGGCUGGCAUCUGGUGAGGAACUUUUGGCUGCAUCAUCCGAUGAUGGAAAGUGGAAGGGCUAGAGAAGGCAAGAAGAGAGACAAAGAUUAAACCCAUAGCCUCAGGCCUUUUUAUAAUCAG
Molecule: long non-coding RNA, 3370 nt
Filed under: Marmota monax (woodchuck)
Lineage: Eukaryota; Metazoa; Chordata; Mammalia; Rodentia; Sciuridae
Source: RNAcentral